RNAcentral lists this ribosomal RNA (432 nucleotides) under uncultured Coriobacteriaceae bacterium. Its description in RNAcentral is "bacterial SSU rRNA". It matches the Rfam family "Bacterial small subunit ribosomal RNA", at positions 77 to 525 of the family's 1533-position model. Lineage: Bacteria; Bacillati; Actinomycetota; Coriobacteriia; Coriobacteriales; Coriobacteriaceae. The record is from RNAcentral.
ACUUCGGGUGUGUAUAGAGUGGCGAACGGGUGAGUAACACGUGACCAACCUGCCUCUUACAUUGGGACAACCAAAAGAAAUUCUGGCUAAAUACCAAAAAUACUCCGCACAUAUCACAUGAUGUAUGCGGGAAAGCUUUUGCGGUAAGAGAUGGGUCGCGGCCCAUUAGGUAGACGGCGGGGUAGAAGCCCACCGUGCCGAUGAUGGGUAGCCGGGUUGAGAGACCGACCGGCCACAUUGGGACUGAGAUACGGCCCAGACUCCUACGGGAGGCAGCAGUGGGGAAUAUUGCGCAAUGGGGGAAACCCUGACGCAGCAGCGCCGCGUGCGGGAUGAAGGCCUUCGGGUUGUAAACCGCUUUCAGCAGGGAAGACAUCGACGGUACCUGCAGAAGAAGCCCCGGCUAACUACGUGCCAGCAGCCGCGGUAAAU